GACGAACCGUGCGAACGUUGUUCGGAAUCACUGGGCUUAAAGGGCGCGUAGGCGGACUAUCAAGUCUUGGGUGAAAUCCUCCGGCUCAACCGGAGAACUGCCUUGGAUACUGGUAGUCUAGAGGGAGGUAGGGGUCUGCGGAACUUCCGGUGGAGCGGUGAAAUGUGUUGAUAUCGGAAGGAACGCUGGUGGCGAAAGCGGCGGACUGGACCUCUUCUGACGCUGAGGCGCGAAAGCUAGGGGAGCAAACGGG
RNAcentral lists this ribosomal RNA (253 nucleotides) under uncultured bacterium. RNAcentral's name for it is "partial 16S ribosomal RNA". It matches the Rfam family "Bacterial small subunit ribosomal RNA", at positions 524 to 776 of the family's 1533-position model. The record is from RNAcentral.